This 497-nucleotide ribosomal RNA is filed under the name uncultured bacterium. Its description in RNAcentral is "partial 16S ribosomal RNA". It matches the Rfam family "Bacterial small subunit ribosomal RNA", at positions 28 to 507 of the family's 1533-position model. The record is from RNAcentral.
GAUGAACGUUGGCGGCGUGCCUAAUACAUGCAAGUCGAGCGAACGGACGAGAAGCUUGCUUCUCUGAUGUUAGCGGCGGACGGGUGAGUAACACGUGGAUAACCUACCUAUAAGACUGGGAUAACUUCGGGAAACCGGAGCUAAUACCGGAUGAUAUUUUGAACCGCAUGGUUCAAAAGUGAAAGACGGUCUUGCUGUCACUUAUAGAUGGAUCCGCGCUGCAUUAGCUAGUUGGUAAGGUAACGGCUUACCAAGGCAACGAUGCAUAGCCGACCUGAGAGGGUGAUCGGCCACACUGGAACUGAGACACGGUCCAGACUCCUACGGGAGGCAGCAGUAGGGAAUCUUCCGCAAUGGGCGAAAGCCUGACGGAGCAACGCCGCGUGAGUGAUGAGGGUCUUCGGAUCGUAAAACUCUGUUAUUAGGGAAGAACAUAUGUGUAAGUAACUGUGCACAUCUUGACGGUACCUAAUCAGAAAGCCACGGCUAACUACGUG